This is a long non-coding RNA of Salvia splendens (bonfire salvia), 625 nucleotides long. RefSeq lists it as uncharacterized. The transcript is spliced from 2 exons. Lineage: Eukaryota; Viridiplantae; Streptophyta; Magnoliopsida; Lamiales; Lamiaceae. The record is from RefSeq and is a predicted model, not a curated record.
CAGCUGGAAUCCCACGAAAAUUACCUCCCAUAAAACCAAACAACACAAACCACUUAAAAAAAACAACUUAUUUUCUCCAUGCAUGCUAUGCCCAAUACUCACAAACACAAAACAAACGCAAAAGUCCUUCAUUUUUCCUCUUCUUCUCUCUCUCAAGUAGUAAAAUUACAAACAGAUUAAUGUCAAAAUCCUACAUCAGCAUCAUCACCAUGUUCCUCAUUUCUCCAUUCACUAUAUCAUGUUGGAAAAUACAUCCGGAGCGAUGCAAGCCGGGGAGUAUCGAGAUAUAUCAAUGGGCGUCGGGAUUCGCAAGACUUCAUAUUCCCAAAUACACAGUGCAGAUAGCGAACGAGGCAUGGCGUGUUAAGGGAGUUUACCUUCGCCUCAACAACCCUCAUUAAUCUGAAAGUUUUUCGUCGCCUAGAUAUGGCAAACUGUCUCCUCAAUGAUGGUGGGAUUAUUUUUCCGGGACAAGUCAUUAAUUUUGAGUAUUCCAAUAUACUUCCUUUUCCUUUGCUUGUUACCAGUUUGAAAUGUGUAUGAUUUUGGUGUCUUUGAAAGAUACUUCCUCCGUCCAUAUUUGCUAUUUUGGGAUGUCCCUUAAAAAUAGACCAAUUCUAUUUAA